CCCUUAGAUGUUCUGGGCCGCACGCGCGCUACACUGAUGCAUUCAACGAGUUUUUCCUUGGCCGAGAGGCCUGGGCAAUCUUUUAAAAGUGCAUCGUGAUAGGGAUAGAUUAUUGCAAUUAUUAAUCUUGAACGAGGAAUUCCUAGUAAACGCAGAUCAUCAAUCUGCAUUGAUUACGUCCCUGCCCUUUGUACACACCGCCCGUCGCACCUACCGAUUGAAUGGUCCGGUGAAGCCUCGGGAUUGUGGCGAGUUCCCUUUAUUGGGAGUUUGUCGCGAGAACUUGUCUAAACCUUAUCAUUUAGAGGAAGGUGAAGUCGUAACA
RNAcentral lists this ribosomal RNA (325 nucleotides) under uncultured eukaryote. RNAcentral's name for it is "partial 18S ribosomal RNA". It matches the Rfam family "Eukaryotic small subunit ribosomal RNA", at positions 1470 to 1796 of the family's 1831-position model. The record is from RNAcentral.